RNA transcript from Phoenix dactylifera (date palm), 4339 nucleotides. It is a transcript of the gene named zinc ion binding protein, with no coding region annotated. Lineage: Eukaryota; Viridiplantae; Streptophyta; Magnoliopsida; Arecales; Arecaceae. The record is from RefSeq and is a predicted model, not a curated record.
GCCUCUUUCUUUGCCAAGGAGGAGACGAUAGAGACCGAGCGGUCUUCCGGGCUCGUUCCCUCUUCCCCUCUGGCUUCAUUCUACGGUUAGGGUUUCUCGAUUCCCCUGGCGAUGGAUCUCGGAGACCUCAACAAGGUAUGGGAGAUUAAAACCCUCAAGAAGCCCGGCGAGGAGGAGGCCCGCCGGAUGCUCGAGCGGGUGGCGAAGCAGGUCCAGCCGAUCAUGCGGCGGCGCAAAUGGAAGGUCAAGAAACUCUCAGAGUUCUGUCCGAUCAAAUUGGCGCUUCUGGGGCUAAACGUAGGGGGAGGCGCCGAGGUGAAGCUCCGGCUUCGGAGGCCCAACAGGGACUGGGACUUCCUCCCCUUCGAGCAAGUCCUGGACACGAUGCUCCACGAACUGUGCCACAUCGAACACGGCCCUCACAACGCCCAAUUCUACAAGCUCUGGGACGAAAUCCGCAAGGAAUGCGAGGAACUGAUGGCCAAGGGUACAACUGGCACUGGACAGGGAUUUGAUGCUCCUGGAAGACGUCUGGGUGGGUAUACUCUCCAGCGCCCAUUGUCAUCACUUCGGCAAACUGCAGUGGCUGCGGCACAAAAACGGGCACGUAUCGGACCGCUACUGCCAUCUGGGCCACAACGAUUAGGGGGAAAUGGUGACAUUAUGACUGCACUUAGUCCAAUACAAGCCGCUGCCAUGGCUGCAGAGAGGAGAAUGUAUGAUGAUUUGUGGUGUGGAUCUGGGCACAGCAACAUCGCCAGUGAAGUAGAUAGUAGCAGUGGCAUGUCAAAGGAACCUGCGUUUACAAAAUCAGAGGAACCUUCAAAAUCUUCCAAUGGGGUACCACAAGGCAAAAACAGUGCAUUAGAGGAUUCUACUUUCAGUGGCAGAGCACCACUAUCUGGUGGUUCAUCUUCCCAAGGCACAACAGAUGAUACAGAAGAUCAAGUGAUUUGGGAGUGCAGUGUGUGCACUCUUUUUAAUCAGCCUCUGGCACCAGUUUGUGAAGCUUGUGGCACACAAAAACCUAAAGAUGUUGGAUCGAAAUUCGAGACCUGGUCAUGUAAAUUUUGUACCUUGGAGAAUAGUGUUAAGUUAGAGAAGUGUUCAGCAUGUGAUCAGUGGAGGUAUUCAUAUGGUCCACCGGUAUCCACUCCUGGUCCCAAUUAUGGCACUUGAAGAUGCACUGCAGUUCACUAGCAUAAAUGGAUGAUGAUAUCUAGCUAUUUCUGACAAUAGAAAAUAUGUUUGGUUCUCUCUCUCUCUCUCUCUCUCUCUCUCUCUCUCUCUCUCAACUACGAGAGGAGUUGCUUGACCAUGUUAAGGCCAAGAGGCAGAGCUGGGAGGAGUUGCUGGAUCAUGUUGAGGUUGAGAGCUCUCAUCAUAGUGGCCGCAAUAAGAAGAUCAUCAUCGAGGAGGGCGACAUCCUACCGCUGCUUGCUGGAGGUAAUAUCGGGAUGGAAUGAAAGAGAUAAGUAACACAAUUUGCAAAAGAAAAAGCAAAAGGAAAAAAAAGAAAAACUCUUCUUUCUCAAUAUAAAAAUAAAUUUAAUUUAAAAUAGAUUACCUUUCAUUAUAUAGAUUAAUUUUUAUAUAUAAAUGCAGCAUAUGUUUCUUUGAAAUAUUAAUGAUGGAGCAGAGUACAUGGGACAGCUGAUUUACAGCUGAUUUGGUUGCCUCACCUAAAUCUUGAAUCAUUAAAAACUAAGAAAAAGGGGAAAAAGAAGAAAAAUCAUUCAUUUUUCCCACGAUGGAAAGAGGACGUGAUGGUUGGCAGCAGCGGUGAUAUGGAAACGGCCGAGAAGAAGCCGGGGCUGGCAGCACGACCAGGUGGGAGGGGGCUGUAGUGGAGGGGUGGGGAGUUAGGGUGGGAAGGAGAUGACCCACUUAAAAAAAUGGAAGCAAAAAUUUCUUACUUCCAAGUUUUUUUCACAAAUAAUGAAAGUUUUUUUUUUAAAAAAAAAAAGAAACAGGAUAACCAAAUGUGUUUUCUACAUUGGUUUCAAUGUGUCUGUUUGAGAAAAAAAAAAAGGAAAAAAGGGUACCAAACAGGGCCUAAGUAAUCUAAAGCUUCAGGUAUUUUCUUCAUGGAAAAUAGAAACAGAAAUAGGAUAACCAAACAUAUUUUUUUGUAUUGGAUUCCGUAUAUCUGUUUUGAAAAAGAAGAAACAUGAAAAAAACAACAGUUCCUAACUGGGCCUUCUUUUUUUUUUUUUUUAAUCCUGUUGAUCUUAUUUUAUAAUGGAUGUGCUUCUGCUUGGAAGAUGAUUGUUUAUCUGCUUUCCUUAAAUAUGUCUGGCCAUUAAUUUUUUUUCAAACCUGAUGGGAAAAAGAUCUGGAUGUAAGAUUAUGGUUUUGCAGAUGUGUGAAUAUGUAGUUUCUGCAUAUAGUUUAAAGGAACGAAAUGUUCACUGAUGUGUUCCUUGACGUUCCAUUGAAAUGUGUCAUCUGCUGUGAAGAUACUACUGUAUGUGGCUACGCCUCUACAAGGUGUGCUCUUGGUUCUCGUGAAGCUCUCUGUUUGCCAGCAUGUUAUAUGUAUGCAUUAUAUUCAUGUUCACCUUGAAUGGUGACAACUGAUGUGUUAUUGCUAACCUUUGUCACUGCAAGAAUUGUUUUCAUGCAUUUAAAAAAAAAUUAUGCUAUCUGACUUCUGCCAGGAAAUCAUCUCUACUAGCAUUUGGGCAGGUCCUUGAUGGUCUAUCUUCAUGUCAAGGAGAUGUGCAAUCCACGUUAUUUCAAAGAUUUAAAUGCUCCAGUUUACGCUGAUUAUAACUAGCCUAGGGAUACAAAAUUCAUUGCUCUAAAUUUGGAGGGGAGCAAUGGUUUAUUUAAUAAGGGAUAUGUGUCUCUGUCCCUGAUAUCAUAUUUAACCAUGUCUGCCAUCAAAAAAAAAAGAAAAAAAUUAACCAUGUCUAAAGGUCUGGAGUCUGGAGUUUGAUGCUGGCAUUUAGGUUAGUAAUGCGCGGAAGGGUGCGCUUUAUUUGUGCAAGCCAUGGCCUGCUAGAAUUGGAUUCGAGACACUAUCUUGUGUGUUUUCUUUUUGAUUAACUUUAUAUUUAAUUGGAGAGAGUUGGGCUCUGGAGUAGGAAUGGAAAUAAGUGUAGGAAUGGGAAUAAGUGACUCUCACUCCAGCCAUUUGGUUGGAGGGAGUUCCAUUUCCAUACCUAUUCCGAGGGAAACAGCAAUGCCUAAUACCAGCUCACUUCCUAAUAUUCAAAUCCCAUGUUGUUAGCGGUUUAGUUGAAAAAAUUAGGGCCUGUUUGGAUUUUUCUGCAGGAUUAUGUAGAAUUCGUGGAUUGAGCCAGUACAAUCAACAAGAUCACAAGCUACAAGCUGAGCUAGGCCUGUAUUUAUGAAAUACUAAGAAAUACCUUUAGAGUGGGCCAGCCCGAAUCCCAUAGGGAGAAACUUUUUUCUUUCUAUAGGCCGGCCCACUCCAAAGCUAUUCUUGCAUAUUUUGCCAAUCUAGCUAGUAGCUUGUGAUCUUGUUGGUUGUACUAGCCCAAUCCACAAAGCCUACAGGAUUUUCAGCCCAGCUCCGAAAGAAAAUCCAAACAAGCUCCAAGGAUUUUCUAAAAAUACUUCUCUAUUUAAUUGAUUUCCAAAAAUUUAACUUGAUUCUGAUUCCAGUUAUGAACCAAUACGCCAAGGAAUAUGUCUAUUUCGAUUCAUUCCAAUCUAUUUUGAUUCCGAUUUCGGUCUUGAACUAAACGCACCUAAAUGAAGUUAUUCUUGUUUUUAGUAAGUGAGCUGAUACAAAAGUGUGCCAAUGGUCUUACAACAGUGCCUACCAUUGUGGACCAUACCGUAGAUCCUUACAACGAACAGAAUACUUUUGAGAUAUUGGCCUUAAAUGUUGUUAAAUUUCUUUAUUGAUCUCGCAUUUAGCAGUAAUUGAAGCAACUCAUGGUCCUCACUAACAGGUCCACCCUCCAUUAAAGCUUUUUGAUCUGGAGCAAACAUCUUAUUUAUCAUUCCUUUUUUGUGAUUCAUUUUUACAGAUUCUGCCAUAUGUGAAGGUUGGGCUAUGAAUUGGUUGAUUAUUUAACCUUAAUCAUUUUGUUCUGAACCAACCUCUUAUGUGGGCUUUGUUGCAUUCAUCGGAGACUACAUCUCAUGGCUGCAAGAAUUAAGCUGAUUCAGUGAUGGAGUUGAGAGAAGCUUUAUUCUCUUGCUGCACUGGAGUAUGUUUUGCUUGUUUUCUGAUUGGUUUCAUGUAUGCAUAUACACCGAAUAUGCUGUGCAUUUUAUGUUUCACUAUCCCUAUCAAAUUGAGAUGACAAUCUUUUGAUAUCAAAAAUAUUAAAUAUCAUGAAUGGUGGUUGUUGUAUAUCAA